RNAcentral lists this ribosomal RNA (468 nucleotides) under uncultured bacterium. Its description in RNAcentral is "partial 16S ribosomal RNA". It matches the Rfam family "Bacterial small subunit ribosomal RNA", at positions 28 to 507 of the family's 1533-position model. The record is from RNAcentral.
GACGAACGCUGGCGGCGGGCUUAACACAUGCAAGUCGAACGGAAAGGCCCUGCUUUUGUGGGGUGCUCGAGUGGCGAACGGGUGAGUAACACGUGAGUAACCUGCCCUUGACUUUGGGAUAACUUCAGGAAACUGGGGCUAAUACCGGAUAGGAGCUCCUGCUGCAUGGUGGGGGUUGGAAAGUUUCGGCGGUUGGGGAUGGACUCGCGGCUUAUCAGCUUGUUGGUGGGGUAGUGGCUUACCAAGGCUUGGACGGGUAGCCGGCCUGAGAGGGUGACCGGCCACAUUGGGACUGAGAUACGGCCCAGACUCCUACGGGAGGCAGAAGUGGGGAAUAUUGCACAAUGGGCGGAAGCCUGAUGCAGCAACGCCGCGUGCGGGAUGACGGCCUUCGGGUUGUAAACCGCUUUCGCCUGUGACGAAGCGUGAGUGACGGUAAUGGGUAAAGAAGCACCGGCUAACUACGUG